This 640-nucleotide ribosomal RNA is filed under the name uncultured bacterium. RNAcentral's name for it is "bacterial SSU rRNA". It matches the Rfam family "Bacterial small subunit ribosomal RNA", at positions 338 to 970 of the family's 1533-position model. The record is from RNAcentral.
CCUACGGGAGGCAGCAGUGGGGAAUAUUGCACAAUGGGCGCAAGCCUGAUGCAGCCAUGCCGCGUGUAUGAAGAAGGCCUUCGGGUUGUAAAGUACUUUCAGCGGGGAGGAAGGGAUUGUGGUUAAUAACCGCAGUCAUUGACGUUACCCGCAGAAGAAGCACCGGCUAACUCCGUGCCAGCAGCCGCGGUAAUANGGAGGGUGCAAGCGUUAAUCGGAAUUACUGGGCGUAAAGCGCACGCAGGCGGUCUGUCAAGUCGGAUGUGAAAUCCCCGGGCUCAACCUGGGAACUGCAUUCGAAACUGGCAGGCUUGAGUCUCGUAGAGGGGGGGGGAAUUCCAGGUGUAGCGGUGAAAUGCGUAGAGAUCUGGAGGAAUACCGGUGGCGAAGGCGGCCCCCUGGACGAAGACUGACGCUCAGGUGCGAAAGCGUGGGGAGCAAACAGGAUUAGAUACCCUGGUAGUCCACGCCGUAAACGAUGUCUACUUGGAGGUUGUGCCCCUGAGGCGUGGCUUCCGGAGCUAACGCGUUAAGUAGACCGCCUGGGGAGUACGGCCGCAAGGUUAAAACUCAAAUGAAUUGACGGGGGCCCGCACAAGCGGUGGAGCAUGUGGUUUAAUUCGAUGCAACGCGAAGACCC